This 823-nucleotide long non-coding RNA is filed under the name Salmo salar (Atlantic salmon). Its description in RNAcentral is "lncRNA (ENSSSAG00000105232.1)". The record is from RNAcentral. Lineage: Eukaryota; Metazoa; Chordata; Actinopteri; Salmoniformes; Salmonidae.
CUGUAGGUGGAGGUAAAGAGGUAUGGGACUGUAGGUGGAGGUAAAGAGGUAUGGGACUGUAGGUGGAGGUAUAGAGGUAUGGGGCUGUAGGUGGAGGUAUAGUGGUAUGGGACUGUAGGUGGAGGUAUAGAGGUAUGGGACUGUAGGUGGAGGUAUAGAGGUAUGGGACUGUAGGUGGAGGUAUAGAGGUAUGGGACUGUAGGUGGAGGUAUAGAGGUAUGGGACUGUAGGUGGAGGUAUAGAGGUAUGGGACUGUAGGUGGAGGUAUAGAGGUAUGGGACUGUACGUGGAGGUAUAGAGGUAUGGGACUGUAGGUGGAGGUAUAGAGGUAUGGGACUGUAGGUGGAGGUAUAGAGGUAUGGGACUGUAGGUGGAGGUAUAGAGGUAUGGGACUGUAGGUGGAGGUAUAGAGGUAUGGGACUGUAGGUGGAGGUAUAGAGGUAUGGGACUGUAGGUGGAGGUAUAGAGGUAUGGGACUGUAGGUGGAGGUAUAGAGGUAUGGGACUGUAGGUGGAGGUAUAGAGGUAUGGGACUGUAGGUGGAGGUAAAGAGGUAUGGGACUGUAGGUGGAGGUAUAGAGGUAUGGGACUGUAGGUGGAGGUAUAGAGGUAUGGGACUGUAGGUGGAGGUAUAGAGGUAUGGGACUGUAGGUGGAGGUAUAGAGGUAUGGGACUGUAGGUGGAGGUAUAGAGGUAUGGGACUGUAGGUGGAGGUAAAGAGGUAUGGGACUGUAGGUGGAGGUAUAGAGGUAUGGGACUGUAGGUGGAGGUAUAGAGGUAUGGGACUGUAGGUGGAGGUAUAGAGGUAUGGGACUGUAGGUGGA